This 465-nucleotide ribosomal RNA is filed under the name Vreelandella stevensii. Its description in RNAcentral is "partial 16S ribosomal RNA". It matches the Rfam family "Bacterial small subunit ribosomal RNA", at positions 338 to 795 of the family's 1533-position model. Lineage: Bacteria; Pseudomonadati; Pseudomonadota; Gammaproteobacteria; Oceanospirillales; Halomonadaceae. The record is from RNAcentral.
CCUACGGGUGGCAGCAGUGGGGAAUAUUGGACAAUGGGCGAAAGCCUGAUCCAGCCAUGUCGCGUGUGUGAAGAAGGCCUUCGGGUUGUAAAGCACUUUCAGUGGGGAAGAAAGCCUUGGGGCUAAUACCCUCGAGGAAGGACAUCACCCACAGAAGAAGCACCGGCUAACUCCGUGCCAGCAGCCGCGGUAAUACGGAGGGUGCGAGCGUUAAUCGGAAUUACUGGGCGUAAAGCGCGCGUAGGCGGUCUGAUAAGCCGGUUGUGAAAGCCCCGGGCUCAACCUGGGAACGGCAUCCGGAACUGUCAGGCUAGAGUGCAGGAGAGGAAGGUAGAAUUCCCGGUGUAGCGGUGAAAUGCGUAGAGAUCGGGAGGAAUACCAGUGGCGAAGGCGGCCUUCUGGACUGACACUGACGCUGAGGUGCGAAAGCGUGGGUAGCAAACAGGAUUAGAUACCCGAGUAGUC